Molecule: small nuclear RNA, 349 nt
Filed under: Jaculus jaculus (lesser Egyptian jerboa)
Lineage: Eukaryota; Metazoa; Chordata; Mammalia; Rodentia; Dipodidae
Description: 7SK RNA (ENSJJAG00000004969.1)
Rfam family: 7SK RNA
About the family: 7SK was discovered as an abundant small nuclear RNA in the mid-70s but a possible function has only recently been suggested. Two independent studies have found that 7SK RNA binds the CDK9/cyclin T complex (known as elongation factor P-TEFb). P-TEFb activates transcription by phosphorylating the C-terminal domain of RNA polymerase II.
Source: RNAcentral
GGAAGUGAGGGCAGUCUGGCUGGGAGGCGUGCCACCCCAUUGAUUGCCAGGGUUGAUUUGGUUGAUCUAGCUGGCUAGGUGGGUAUCCUCUUCCUCCUCACCACACCGUGUGCGUCCCUCCUUAUGCACACUCAGUGGAAGAGGAUGGCCUUCCCUGAAUUGAGGACAAGGACCGAUCUUCGGUCAAGGGUAUACAGUAGCUGAGCUCCCUUGCUAGAACCUCCAAACAAGCUCUCAAGUGCCUAUAUCAAACUCUUGCUUCUACAUUCGUUCAUAAGGUAUAUAUCUCUUAAAAUAUUCACAUGUAAGAGAGAAAUAAGCUAUACCACAAAAUCAAAUUUUGCUUUUU